Molecule: ribosomal RNA, 464 nt
Filed under: Vreelandella stevensii
Lineage: Bacteria; Pseudomonadati; Pseudomonadota; Gammaproteobacteria; Oceanospirillales; Halomonadaceae
Description: partial 16S ribosomal RNA
Rfam family: Bacterial small subunit ribosomal RNA
Source: RNAcentral
CCUACGGGGUGAGCAGUGGGGAAUAUUGGACAAUGGGCGAAAGCCUGAUCCAGCCAUGCCGCGUGUGUGAAGAAGGCCUUCGGGUUGUAAAGCACUUUCAGUGGGGAAGAAAGCCUUGGGGCUAAUACCCUCGAGGAAGGACAUCACCCACAGAAGAAGCACCGGCUAACUCCGUGCCAGCAGCCGCGGUAAUACGGAGGGUGCGAGCGUUAAUCGGAAUUACUGGGCGUAAAGCGCGCGUAGGCGGUCUGAUAAGCCGGUUGUGAAAGCCCCGGGCUCAACCUGGGAACGGCAUCCGGAACUGUCAGGCUAGAGUGCAGGAGAGGAAGGUAGAAUUCCCGGUGUAGCGGUGAAAUGCGUAGAGAUCGGGAGGAAUACCAGUGGCGAAGGCGGCCUUCUGGACUGACACUGACGCUGAGGUGCGAAAGCGUGGGUAGCAAACAGGAUUAGAUACCCCUGUAGUC